This 466-nucleotide ribosomal RNA is filed under the name Guibemantis liber. RNAcentral describes it as "partial 16S ribosomal RNA". It matches the Rfam family "Bacterial large subunit ribosomal RNA", at positions 1960 to 2593 of the family's 2925-position model. Lineage: Eukaryota; Metazoa; Chordata; Amphibia; Anura; Mantellidae. The record is from RNAcentral.
CAUAAUCACUUGUUCUUUAAAUGAGGAGUUGUAUCAACGGCAUCACGAGGGUUAAACUGUCUCCUUUUUCAGAUCAGUGAAACUAAUCUCCCCGUGAAGAAGCGGGGAUAAUUCUAUAAGACGAGAAGACCCCAUGGAGCUUUAAACCCAACCACACUCCUCUUUAACUUUACUUUAAAAUUCUUGGGAUAUUUGUGUUUUGGUUUUAGGUUGGGGUGACCGCGGAGCAUAAAUUAGCCUCCAUAAUGAAUAGAUCUUCUCUUUAUCUAAGACUUACACUUCUAAGAAUUAGCACUCUAACAUAAAAUGAUCCGAUAUUCGAUCAACGAACCAAGUUACCCUGGGGAUAACAGCGCAAUCUACUUCAAGAGCCCCUAUCGACAAGUGGGUUUACGACCUCGAUGUUGGAUCAGGGUAUCCUAGUGGUGCAGCAGCUACUAAAGGUUCGUUUGUUCAACGAUUAAAA